UUGUUAAACAUAGCUCAUCGGGAAAAACGCCUGACUACGGAUCAGGAGAUUCCAGGUUCGAAUCCUGAACAAG
Non-coding RNA from Trichonephila clavipes, 73 nucleotides. The record is from the annotation of a GenBank genome assembly. NCBI's taxonomy places the organism in Eukaryota, Metazoa, Arthropoda, Arachnida, Araneae, Nephilidae.